GAACACCUUCGGGGCAGGGUGAAAGCGUGAGCGCUUCUGGCGCUGCGCUCAUUCCCGAUCGGCGGUACAGCCCGCGAGCGUAAAGGAACGCCUCAUAGCGAAAUCCUUCGCGCAUGAUCCGGUGAAACUCCGGAGCCGACGGUAUAGUCCGGAUGAAAGAAGGUGCGC
This 168-nucleotide non-coding RNA is filed under the name Chloroflexota bacterium. RNAcentral's name for it is "Chloroflexi bacterium FMN sequence". It matches the Rfam family "FMN riboswitch aptamer (RFN element)". From Rfam's summary of the family: The RFN element is a highly conserved domain that is found frequently in the 5'-untranslated regions of prokaryotic mRNAs that encode for flavin mononucleotide (FMN) biosynthesis and transport proteins. This element is a metabolite-dependent riboswitch that directly binds FMN in the absence of proteins. Lineage: Bacteria; Bacillati; Chloroflexota. The record is from RNAcentral.